RNAcentral lists this non-coding RNA (31 nucleotides) under Rattus norvegicus (Norway rat). Lineage: Eukaryota; Metazoa; Chordata; Mammalia; Rodentia; Muridae. The record is from RNAcentral.
UUGGAUUGGUAGGUAAAGUUUCUUAUUGAGG